GCUUCGUUGCAUACCUUGAAAAACGCUUUGCGACAGAGUGAAAAACCGUUUUCUAAAUUGUCGAAUAAAUGCCGUUUUCGUCGAUUGAUUUAAUUUGACUUGUGCCUAUUCAGGGUGGUAUAGUCAAGAUGUGGGAAGAAUGACAACGUGUUCCCAUAUUUUAUUGACGGAAAGGGAUGUAUUUGAUGCAAGGUAAAGUAAAAUGGUUUAACGCUGAAAAAGGUUAUGGUUUCAUCGAACGCGAAGACGGAGACGACGUAUUCGUACACUUCUCUGCUAUCCAAUCAGAAGGAUUUAAAUCUUUGGAAGAAGGCCAAAGCGUUGAAUUCGAAAUCGUUGAAGGCGCUCGCGGACCUCAAGCAGCUAACGUUGUUAAGUUGUAAUAUGCAUCACCUUUCCCUGUAAUGGAAAUAAGGUAGAUCCAAAUACAACGAACGAUAUCUACGCCCUCGGAUGAUUCCGGGGGCUUUCG
Molecule: non-coding RNA, 472 nt
Filed under: Aneurinibacillus migulanus
Lineage: Bacteria; Bacillati; Bacillota; Bacilli; Caryophanales; Paenibacillaceae
Source: Rfam by way of RNAcentral